Molecule: ribosomal RNA, 407 nt
Filed under: uncultured prokaryote
Also listed under: 1 other name
Description: bacterial SSU rRNA
Rfam family: Bacterial small subunit ribosomal RNA
Source: RNAcentral
UGGGGGAUAUUGCGCAAUGGGGGAAACCCUGACGCAGCAACGCCGCGUGAAGGAUGAAGGUCUUCGGAUUGUAAACUUUUGUCUUUGGUGACGAAGAAAAUGACGGUAGCCAAGGAGGAAGCCACGGCUAACUACGUGCCAGCAGCCGCGGUAAUACGUAGGUGGCAAGCGUUGUCCGGAUUUACUGGGUGUAAAGGGCGUGUAGACGGGGAGUCAAGUCAGAUGUGAAAUACCGCAGCUCAACUGCGGGGCUGCAUUUGAAACUGAUUCUCUUGAGUGCGGGAGAGGAAAGCGGAAUUCCUAGUGUAGCGGUGAAAUGCGUAGAUAUUAGGAGGAACACCAGUGGCGAAGGCGGCUUUCUGGACCGUAACUGACGUUGAGGCGCGAAAGCGUGGGUAGCAAACAGG